This is a small nuclear RNA of Sceloporus undulatus (fence lizard), 162 nucleotides long. RefSeq annotates it as U1 spliceosomal RNA. The transcript has a single exon. The record is from RefSeq and is a predicted model, not a curated record. Lineage: Eukaryota; Metazoa; Chordata; Lepidosauria; Squamata; Phrynosomatidae.
AUACUUACUUAGCAGGGGAGACACCAUGAUCAUGAAUGUGGUUUUCCCAGGGUGAGGAUCAUCCAUUGCACUGCGGGUGUGCUUAUGCCUGCGAUUUCCCCAAAUGCGAGAAACUCGACUGCAUAAUUUGUGGAAAAAACUGGCUGUUUGUGGUAGAGUUUC